GACGAACGCUGGCGGCGUGCUUGACACAUGCAAGUCGAACGGAAAGGCCUGCUUUUCCUUGUGGAUUGCGGGUACUCGAGUGGCGAACGGGUGAGUAACACGUGAGUGAUCUGUUCCCAACUUGGGUAUAAGCUUGGGAUACUGGGUCUAAUUCCCGAUAGGACCGUAGGGUGGUGUCUGAGGUGGAAAACGUUGGUCUAGUGGUUGGGGAUGAGCUCGCGGCCUAUCAGCUUGUUGGUGGGGUAAUGGCUUACCAAGGCGGCGACGGGUAGGCGGCCUGGGGUGGCGGACGGCAGAAGUGGAACUGAGAUACGGCCCAGACUCCAACGGGAGGCAGCAGUCGGGAGUAAGGCGCAGUGAGCGGAAGCCUGAGGCAGCGACGCCGCGUGGGGAAUGACGGCCUUCGGAUGGUAGACUCCUGUCUGCCGCGAGGAAUCGACCUGGUUGAAGGGGUGGUGACGGUAGUGGGAGAAGAAGCACCGGCUAACUACGUG
Molecule: ribosomal RNA, 494 nt
Filed under: uncultured bacterium
Lineage: Bacteria
Description: partial 16S ribosomal RNA
Rfam family: Bacterial small subunit ribosomal RNA
Source: RNAcentral